GGCCGCGGGAGGGGCCGGCUGAUGGCUUUCAACGGCGCUUUUACCGCCGGCAGGGGCGGCACGGUCCGCCCGGCGGCCU
RNAcentral lists this transfer RNA (79 nucleotides) under Chloroflexota bacterium. Its description in RNAcentral is "tRNA-Lys". Lineage: Bacteria; Bacillati; Chloroflexota. The record is from RNAcentral.